AUGUGGGAGGGACUCGAGCCGUCUCACCAUGGCAGAAGGAGAAGGCCAGCACCACUGCCCAUGAUGGCCGCAUGUCCAGCGCCACAGCACAAGAUGGCCGCCAACCCAGCAACGCUGCAGUGCAUGGCCACCAACCCCGCACCACGAGGCAAGAUGGAAGCCAGCCUCACACCACAGUACAGGAUGGCCGCCAGCUCAGCGCCACGAGGCAACAUGGCCGCCAACCCAGUACCACGAAGCAAGACGGCCGCCAGCUCAGGGCCACAGCACAAGAUGGAUAUCAACCCAGCGCCACGAGGCAAUAUGGACGCCAGCACAACGCCACAGCACAAAGUGGUCACCAGUCCAGCGCCACGGUUCAAGAUGGCUGCCAGCUCAGUGCCAACGCCCAAGAUGGCCGCUGACACAUUUCUCGAUUACUUCGAUAUACUGUCAAGGAUCCUAGAGAUUCCCAAGAUGGUUCACAUCAUGGCUGAUGAGCCAGUGCCACAGCUCAAGAUGGCCGCCAGCCCAGCGCCACAGCAUCGGGUGGUCGCCAGCCCAGCGCCACAGCAUCUGGUGGUCGCCAGCCCAGCGCCACAGCAUCGGGUGGUCGCCAGCCCAGCGCCACAGCACAAGAUGGCCACUAACCCAGCGCCAAUGCCAAAGAUGGCCACCCGUCCAGCACCACAACCGAAGAUGGCCGCCAGCCCAGUACCACAGCACAAGAUGGCCACUAACCCAGCGCCAAUGCCCAAGAUGGCCACUGGUCCAGAGCCACAGCACAAGAUGGCCCCCAGUCCAGCGCCACAGCACAAGAGUGCCGUCAGCCCAGCGCCACGGUACAAGAUGGCCACUAACCCAGCGCCAAUGCCCAAAUUGGCCACCGGUCCAGCGCCACAGCACAAGAUGCUCACCGGCCCAGCACCACAACCCAAGAGGGCUCCCUGUCCAGAGUCAUGGCCCAAGAUGGCUGCUUGCCCUGCGCCGCUGCACAGGAUGAAAGUCACAGCUGACCCUCUGGAGUCGAGUCAGGUUCCAGUGAAUGCUCCAGAGUCGAGUCAGGUUCCAGUGAACCCUCCUGUGUCGAGUCAGGUGAAGUCGAGUCGAGUUAAGUCCAAAACCUUCUUAAAGAUCUUAACAAAUCAAAUAAAAAAAAUAAUAUUAAUAAUUAUAACAGACCUUUCCAGAAGCAAUAUCUGA
RNAcentral lists this long non-coding RNA (1182 nucleotides) under Carassius auratus (goldfish). Its description in RNAcentral is "lncRNA (ENSCARG00000052933.1)". Lineage: Eukaryota; Metazoa; Chordata; Actinopteri; Cypriniformes; Cyprinidae. The record is from RNAcentral.